AUGCACCCUGGAGCCCACCACAGGUCUCCCGCACAGCCGCCGUUGUAGUAAAUGUGCGUUGGUCCCAAACAACACCUCUUCACACAGCUUGUAGCUUCUACGAGUGUAUCCCACCGAGGGUUCCGGCGCUGCUGCUGGGCUGGCUGUGGCCGACCAUGCUUCGUGUGAGGUGGUAGGCUUGGCUGUCGCUGGGCUUUGCCUAACUCAUGGUCAUUGUGGUGCAACCUCCGUGGCGGUGCUGUGUCAGCCUUGGCUGCACCCCUAUCCGAACAACCAGAUGAUGGUAUGUUGCUGGGGACAUGAUCAGAAGAUGAGGCGAGGAAAAAGGGGCACUAGGGGCUGUGCCAGUGUUGUGGUGGACAUGACACCACACCACCAACUCCUAGUCAUUCUCGGAAGCAAUAGUGUCGUGGUGGUUGAGAUCCAUGAACCCAGCAAUGGAAGAGUAUAGUAGAGGAUUGAGGAAGGAUUGAGCAAUUAUAGUGCACGGACAGAGAUACCAUCAGUACAAGAUUAUCAAGUUGGUGUAGGAUUUCCAACUUAUGAAUGAAGAGAAAUAAGGAACUAGCAGCAAGGUUGUGAUUGGCUCAACUCCGCAGUGCAGUUGGCUUGAAGCAUAAUCCAAUGCAUGACUUUUAAGAACAAGGACUCGACCAUACAAAACUGAUCCUGGUGAAGCUAAGAAGCAAGAUACAUUGCGGCCCAAAAUCCAUGCUAUGGUUGCUGCCAUGUUUGUUGACAGAUGCCGUCAGCUCUGCCGCAUACUGCGGCAUCGGUGGGAAGAGGAUGUCCAGAAUGUGGAAGUGCAGCUGCCAGCCACUCCCAGGUACCAUUGAAUCAUUCCUUUCCAAGACAGAAGGUGCCGCAAGAUGGAUCAAGGAGAGUUUGUUACAUGGUCACACAUCCAUGGAGGGUGAAUUAUAGAUUGGUGCUACAAGAAAUUAGUGCACAUCCCAGUCUACAGGCAAGAUGGCACGAAGGCCGAGCGCCCCAGCUCUGGUCCAUAACGCCGCCUCUGCUUGUUGUAAAAUCCUUCUACAGACUGCCAGUCUGAGGAUUGCUGAGAAGUUACAUCCAAGCUUUUGUGUUCUCCAAAAAUGCUCUUUGGGACAAAGAGGGUUGCAGCUGGAACCUAUAGCUCAUGCAGCCUGAUGCAUCUUGGAAGGAUGCUGGACGACCAAGGGGGGACACAUCAUAUAU
Lolium rigidum is the source of this 1200-nucleotide long non-coding RNA. RefSeq lists it as uncharacterized. NCBI's taxonomy places the organism in Eukaryota, Viridiplantae, Streptophyta, Magnoliopsida, Poales, Poaceae. The transcript is spliced from 7 exons. The record is from RefSeq and is a predicted model, not a curated record.